This 242-nucleotide long non-coding RNA is filed under the name Linum usitatissimum (flax). RNAcentral's name for it is "long non-coding RNA (LUSI_LNC006127)". The record is from RNAcentral. Lineage: Eukaryota; Viridiplantae; Streptophyta; Magnoliopsida; Malpighiales; Linaceae.
UCGUGGCCUCUCUAAUUCAUAAUAAUUAAAAACCUUCGUUAAUGUUAAUUUUUACUUUAAUUUUUGUUGUCAGUUAUAUUAAUUUAUUUUUCACGGAGCGUCUCCGUCCGAUUUAUCCCGUCUCCCCCCCUCCCCCGGGGGCUGCCUAAAUCCAAUCUGCCGGUCGCUUCUCUCUCUUUCUCUCUCCACCGAAAGCCCGGACUCGCUAAACUCAAAACUCGUCUCGACAAAAAAAAAAAUUU